GCUAUCUGUCAAAUUCCAAUUAUAAUGUCUAAUUACUGCGACCCCUUUCAGCAAAUGGAGUGAGUCAAAUCAGCCAACUUAGUCAAACACCAAUUUUUUUUAAAGUUCAAAUUCCAACCAUUUUUCAGACGUAAGCUGCUGUAAUUUUUAAAAAGAAACGCCAACCAGCUUGAAUACAAAAUCAAACUUUGGAAACUUUAUAGUAUUUUCAGUCAUAUAAUCCCGAAAUCUUAAUUUUUUUUGGAUCUGUACCAGUUUACAUCUGCCCUGUUUCUUGUUGUCUUGUUUCUGUAAAAAAAAAAAAAAAAAAAAAAAAAUACGCUCAAGAAUUUGCAAAGAUUCGAAAAAAAUUCUGCUGCCCAGAUUGGGCAUUGAUGACAGUUGAAUCUUCUUGAACCGGUGUUUUAAACUGUUUUUGUUUGAUUUAUAAUUCAAGUCUGCAGCAAAAGCAACUUUGAUGGAUUCAUCGCCAGAUUACAAGAGGGCCACAAGCAAUUUUGAUGAAAAGAAAGAAAAUUCUCCUGCUGGAAGUGAAUGUGAUGAAAACGUUUCAUUGAGUUCUUCAACUCAGGGAUCUGCUUUUAAUGGACUGCCUGGUCCGUACCGGGAUAUGGGAAUCAAGAACAGAACUAACAAGAAGAAGACACUGAAAAACUUUAGGAAUCUAAAAACAUUCAGGAGAAGGGCUAGAUCAAGAGCUGUGGAUCAGAUUUCCAAGGACAUGUCUGAUGAUCUAGUAACGCCUCAACUGAAAUCUUCGCUUGAAGUAUCUGAUGAAACACCACGUUACAUGAAGGCAACUACUUCUUCGAAAGGGAAAAAGGCGAAUUCUAUGGAAAGUCAGCAGAAUUCUGAAUUUUGCUUUGAUAAUACUGAUCAAACCAGUUCGCAUUCUUCACAAUCAAAUGUGGCUUCACCCAGUGUUGGAUCUUUGCAAACUUCAUUGACAGCAUUGAACCUUAGAAAUGUGAAAAUUCUAAUAAAGACAACGAGUUUUAAACCCAAGAGGUCUUCCUUAAAAUACUCUCGAGUUUCUCAGGAUUUAAUUGUUGAUAGAGCAACAUUUUCUUCCACUCUUAAGGACUCGAAGUUUGCCAAGCAGGUUGAGCAUAUUCCUGAGGAAGUUGAGUCUGAAAAGACUUCAGUAAUGAAAGUUUGUCGAUACCAUCACUGUUCUCUUCAUGGACACUGCAAUGAGGCCCAUGAUCCUGUUCCUCCACAAAAGCGCCUCUUGUACAAAAAAAGACGAUCGUUGAAGAAACAAAAGAGCACGAAACCCAAAUCUGAUUCCAUGUCUGUCACAAAAAGCUCUAGGGAUAAAAAGAAAGAUCUACAGAAAGGGCAAAUGAUUUCUAAUUUGCAGCAAUUGGUGCAAGGAGAGAGUGACAGUAUAGCCACCUCUUAUGAGGGGGAUACCUCUAGUUCGUGUGCAUUAGAAGUAAAAAUGAGUGAAACACCUUGGCUUAGUGCUUCAUAUGUCAUGGAUUCUGGUACAGAGAUCAAGACUACACCCAAAACUCAGCUAGUUGGAGAUGGGUACAGCAGCAUUCAAGAGUCAGAUCUUGUCGAAAUUGCAUUUGGUGAAACAUCAAACCCUGAGGAAAAUUACCGGGAGAGCCUUAACCGAGUCAUGGAUUAUGGUACACAAAAGCAAGGAAUUCUAUGUUCGAAGUGCUCUAGCAUUAAAAUGGAACCAAAUGAGUCCAAAGGAACAGCUGAUGUAGACUUACCACGCCCUCAAGUACUCGACUCAAAUCUUGGGAAUGGGUACAAAGCUACUGAUUUUUCUGAUACAGCUGCAUCUUCCAUUUCCUUAAAAGCAGAUGAACAAUUUAGUGCCGACAAUAAGGGGACUGCGACUUCUAAUGGAGCAGAAUGUGAUUUUAAUGAACCCAACAUACAGAAUGCAUUAACUCCAGACCAUUUUGAUGAAGUUACAGAAAGUAACAGUGUGAUGUUUUCAACUUCAGAUGAUCAAACUUCAAAAUAUGGAAAUCCUGAAUCAGAAAGGAAAUUCACAGCUGAAGUUAUGCACGCUGAAGAUUCUGAAUCUAGUGAGGUUGUGCACGUUAAAAAUUCAGAAGUUAGUACUCGGUUUCAUGAAGAAAACAAAACUCAGUUCAACAAAGUUAGGCAUAUCAGCAUGUGGCACAUGAUACAUCAGCAUAUGGCAGAAAGUAUGGCUGCAGAAUCUGAAAACAAGCCACUUCAGGACGAUGAUGGUUCCAAUGUAUUGCGUGCAAAAGAAAGUUCAGCAUCGUCCAGGAAUUUUUCUGAUUCUGAUAGGGGCAUACUGAACAACAAUUAUGAAUUAGAUGAUAUUGAAGUCCGUAAGCUUUUUGCAGUUAAGCUAGUCCGAGAAGCAAUCGAGAAGAUUCUUCUUCCAGAAGUUCAAGACCAGACAUCUGAUGAUCAGUCAAUGACAAGCGACACCGCUCAUGAACAAGAACUCUUUGAAAAGAAUGAACACAAAGGUAGUGUCCAAGAAAGUUCCACAGAAUGUGAGUCGGAUAAGGCGGAGGGUGAUGCGCCAGCUGAUUUGAAAGAGGUAGGUCUCAACAAUAAUGAUAUUUCUGGUCAAGAGAUGGUGCAAACUGAUAAAGAGUUUGGAAGCAAAUCUGAGAAGAAAGCACCAAAACAUUGGAGUAAUCUUAAAAAAUGGAUUUUACUUCAAAGAUUCAUCAAAGAAUUAGAAAAAGUGAGGAAAUUUAAUCCAACGAGUCCACAACAUCUGCCUUUGAAGCCUGACCCUGAAUCGGAAAAAGUCAACCUACGGCCUCAAACAGUGGAAGAGAGGAAGAAAGCAGAGGAGUGGAUGCUUGAUUAUGCACUGCGCCAAGCAGUCAGUCAGCUUGCCCCUACUCAGAAAAGGAAAGUGUCUGUGCUAAUAAAGGCCUUUGAAACUGUUGUUACACCGAAUGAAGAUAAUAGCCAAAAAUUUGCCGGCAUUACCCAUGAAGUGGGCGAGUCUGUUCUAAAAGAAAAUAGCCCAAACAAAGAGGCCCAAGAUAUUUUUGAAUUGAAAUCUAAUAAUGGUGAAACAGCACUUGAACACAAUUUACAGGGAAUUCAAAAGGAUACAGUUGUUUGUUUGAACUCUGAGUUUCCAACUGGUAAUUUCCUCCCGACCAUUGGAAACAUAGAGACUCAAGAUCCAGAUUAUGGAAGUGGUGAAUCCAAAAAUUUGAUUCUAGAUGGUAAUGGAUUAUCAACUGAGGAUACUAUCUCAUCAGCUGUUCAUUGUGGUACGCUUGAGCUAGAAACGAAAGUAAGGGGUGAGGCCAACCAAGAAGUUAUGCCAGAACUCAGAGGAUUUCAAGAAGAUACCGUAUCUGAUAGCAAAGAGUCAGAGACAAAGAAUGGAUCACACAAUAUCCAGUUGGAAAGACAAAACCAUAUCAGAAUGUGGCAUUCGAUAUAUCAGCAUGUGGUAUCAGGUAUUGCUGAGAAAGUUGGGAGCCAAUUUCUUGAUGGAACAGAUGAUGAUGAAGUAGAAGAUUGUAAUGAAUUGCCUAAAAUAAGCAAGGGUGAUUUUUUCCUCAAAUCGGAUGAUGACUCAGUCAAAGAAAACCGUGUUUCUAGCCAUUUGAAUAGUGCAUUUACCAAGUCUGAUGCAGUCAAACUCGUCCAAGAGGCAUUAGAUGAGAUCCUUCUUCCAGAAAUUCAAGACGACUCAUCUGAUACUCAGUCAGUUACAAGUGACUUUAAUCCAGACCAGGAGUUCUCAGAAAGUCUUAACCAAGAAAAUGAGACACAAUGUACACGUGAAGGUGGAAUUUCAGUUGAUCAACAAGACUGGAAAAUGAAGUCAGCCAGAAGACCCGAGCCACUGAAGUCCAAAAACUGGAGCAAGCUGAAAAAGCUAAUCCUCCUCAAGAGAUCCUUAAAAGCAUUAGAGAAGGCAAGGAAACUUAACCUGCAACCACCACAACAACUCUCGGUUAUGCCUGAUCCCAAACAAGAGAAAGCUGACUUAAGGCAUGAAAUGAUGGACGAGAGAAAAAAGGCUGAGCAAUGGAUGCUAGAUUAUGCAGUCCAACAUAUUGUCACAAAACUAACUCCAGCGCGGAAAAGAAGGGUGUCAAUGCUUGUUGAAGCUUUCGAAGCAGUCGUUCCACUUCCAGAACCAUUAACUCCAUGAAGAUUCAAAUCAAGCAUAUCUAUGCAAGGUUAUUUGUUGCUAUUUAUAAAAAAAAAUGCUGUAAGGAUGAUGUCUCGUGCCUCUGGAAUAAAUUGGUUAGUGCUCAUGUAAAUGGUCGUUUUUAUGCUAGUUAUUCUUUGACAUCAAUUUUUGUUUUUGUUUAUGGGAAUCUCAUUAUUCUACUACAGAUGUUAUGUACAAUUUCUAGAAGACAAUUCUGUUAUCUGCUUGGUCGUGCAUGUAUUCUAGAGAUAAAAUAAUGUUACCGGUUUGCCUUUGUUCUUUUAA
This is an RNA transcript of Olea europaea var. sylvestris, 4429 nucleotides long. It is a transcript of the gene named calmodulin binding protein PICBP-like, with no coding region annotated. NCBI's taxonomy places the organism in Eukaryota, Viridiplantae, Streptophyta, Magnoliopsida, Lamiales, Oleaceae. The record is from RefSeq and is a predicted model, not a curated record. The transcript is spliced from 4 exons.